Molecule: long non-coding RNA, 483 nt
Filed under: Aotus nancymaae (Ma's night monkey)
Lineage: Eukaryota; Metazoa; Chordata; Mammalia; Primates; Aotidae
Description: lncRNA (ENSANAG00000038737.1)
Source: RNAcentral
AAAUAUUUGAACAGCAAGGGAAACAGGAAGCAAUGAGAAACAAAAUCACCCUCCAGCUCUGAGUCACAGGACCAUCUCCUCUGGCAGGCCCUGUCAGCCACAGCCCAGGGAAGCUAAUUGGGGUACAUGGAGCCUCUUUGACUAAGUAGCAAGGAACGGGAAAUGCACUCUGGUUUCUUCUUGGCUUCCAGUUCGUGUGUUCAGACCCAGUUCUGCCUUCCUGCCUUUGACGCAGGGAAAUAAGGGUCUGAAUAAAACCUGUUGGAGGUUGCAAUUAAAUCUUUGUGGACAAAGGGCACACACACGCAAAUGUACACAGCAUCCUCAGAUAACAGGAGGCAAUAAAUCCAUCAGCACAUCCACAUUCAGAGAACGGCAUCCCUGCUGUCUUGCUAACAGCUGCCAGUACCUCCCCUGUCUCUUAUACACAUCUAGAUGUGUAUAAGAGACAGAUUGAGGUCAGACUGUAAAUACAGUUUAAGU